CACGAGUUUGAUCCUGGCUCAGGAUGAACGCUAGCGGCAGGCCUAACACAUGCAAGUCGAGGGGUAGAGUUCUUCGGGACUUGAGACCGGCGCACGGGUGCGUAACGCGUAUGCAAUCUACCUUAUACAGGGGAAUAGCCCAGAGAAAUUUGGAUUAAUGCCCCAUAGUGUUAUCGAAUCGCAUGGUUUGAUAACUAAAGUUCCAACGGUAUAAGAUGAGCAUGCGUCCCAUUAGUUAGUUGGUAAGGUAACGGCUUACCAAGACAAUGAUGGGUAGGGGUCCUGAGAGGGAGAUCCCCCCACACUGGUACUGAGACACGGACCAGACUCCUACGGGAGGCAGCAGUGAGGAAUAUUGGUCAAUGGGCGCAAGCCUGAACCAGCCAUGCCGCGUGCAGGAAGACGGUCCUAUGGAUUGUAAACUGCUUUUAUACAGGAAGAAACCCUCCCACGUGUGGGAGCUUGACGGUACUGUAGGAAUAAGGAUCGGCUAACUCCGUG
This 501-nucleotide ribosomal RNA is filed under the name uncultured bacterium. Its description in RNAcentral is "bacterial SSU rRNA". It matches the Rfam family "Bacterial small subunit ribosomal RNA", at positions 1 to 507 of the family's 1533-position model. The record is from RNAcentral.